This 1463-nucleotide long non-coding RNA is filed under the name Octopus vulgaris (common octopus). Lineage: Eukaryota; Metazoa; Mollusca; Cephalopoda; Octopoda; Octopodidae. The record is from RNAcentral.
AAGUGGAUGUACGAAAUUGUCGGUCGCCAUUGUUUUGUAAUCUUAUUUUAUUGUCCAUCGAUGGAGCUUUCUAACUUGUACAUUUAUACUACUGUGUAUGACAUGUUGAUUUUAUCCUGGCCGGGCAAAAUAUCACCAGCGUAAAAGAAGAUUUCUCCGGUAAUGAAAUAUAUCUAAAUUCGCACAUAUACACACACACACGCAUUUCCAAUAAGAUGUUAGACAGACUAUUUGUGUAAAGUUUUCUCUGACAAAAAUCAUCGGUGUCUCUGCGUUUUACAUUGUCUCACAAAUAAACUCAAGAGUUGGAGAUUGUGGUGAAAUUGACCUUUUAACCAUUCAGUCUACAUUAAAAUGUAAGUAUUAUAUCGAAUUAUUUGUAUAGGUCUAUCUUUUACCUUGUUUCAGUCAUUGGACUGCGGCCUUGAAGAAUUUUAGGCGAACGUAUCGACCUCAGUACUUGUUUGUAAACCGGUAUUAUUCUAUCGGUCUCUUUUGUCGAACCGCAAGGUUUUGGGGACGUAAACACACCAACACCCGUUGUCAGGCGGGGACGGAGGAGACAAAGGCAGACGCAAACACGCACACACGUACGACGGUCUUCUUUCAUUUUCCGUCUACUAAAUCCACUGGCAAGGCUUUGGUAGAAGACCCUUGUCCAGAUGAGGUGUACAUGAUCAAUUAAUUAACCAAUGAAAAAUAUAAUUUCAUUGGUCAUUAGAGAUGUUGACGGGUGUGGUACUGAAUGUAAACAGAACGGCCGCUAGAAUUUCAUUAAUUUCCACAUCUUCAUUGGCUUGUUAUCAAAUAACAUCAUUGGAGAAUAAUGCUUCCUCGAUACAUUGUCUGAAUAAAAGACGGGAUGGUCAUGGUUAUAAUGUUGUUCAUCAUGUCUGACCUGGGACUAAGCAACAAGAAAUAACGUUGCUUACGGAAGAAAAAUGUUAUGGUUUACUAUUGUGUAGUUUAAGAUAUGGUACACAAUAUGGAGUUUACAAAGCUGUAUGAUGUAAUCUUUAUAAAUGAGGUUUCCUUUUCAGUCUCUAUUGUUCAAGUUUGUCUUUAACAUUGUUUCUUUUAUUAUUUCAGAUGAUAAUGACUGAUAAUUACCUGCAAAUAACUCAAUGUUUGUCAUCUUUUAAAGAUGGUUUCCACAACUGAUAAAAUCCUGUUUAUAUAAAUCUAUGGUAAUUCCUCUGAAAUGAGAUUAUUUACAUUUCUCUACUUCACUCUCUGGAAUAAGUACAAGACAGCUUUAAUUAAACUUGGAUAAAUUUACUAAGAAGAUAAAGCUGGUUUUUCUUGAAAGAAACUUCGUUUUUGGAUAAGUCUGGAUAAAUGGAUCUAUUUUAGCGUUACCAUACGUAUUUCUUAUUACAUAACAGUUCUUUUGUAAUAAACUAUAUUGGAAUACUUUCUCAGAAAUGUUUUCUUGUGAUAAAUCACCUUGUAAGUAACAAUUU